RNAcentral lists this ribosomal RNA (529 nucleotides) under uncultured bacterium. RNAcentral's name for it is "bacterial SSU rRNA". It matches the Rfam family "Bacterial small subunit ribosomal RNA", at positions 47 to 565 of the family's 1533-position model. The record is from RNAcentral.
CCUAACACAUGCAAGUCGAACGGUAACAGGAAGCAGCUUGCUGCUUCGCUGACGAGUGGCGGACGGGUGAGUAAUGUCUGGGAAGCUGCCUGAUGGAGGGGGAUAACUACUGGAAACGGUAGCUAAUACCGCAUAAUGUCGCAAGACCAAAGAGGGGGACCUUCGGGCCUCUUGCCAUCGGAUGUGCCCAGAUGGGAUUAGCUUGUUGGUGGGGUAACGGCUCACCAAGGCGACGAUCCCUAGCUGGUCUGAGAGGAUGACCAGCCACACUGGAACUGAGACACGGUCCAGACUCCUACGGGAGGCAGCAGUGGGGAAUGUUGCACAAUGGGCGCAAGCCUGAUGCAGCCAUGCCGCGUGUAUGAAGAAGGCCUUCGGGUUGUAAAGUACUUUCAGCGGGGAGGAAGGGAGUAAAGUUAAUACCUUUGCUCAUUGACGUUACCCGCAGAAGAAGCACCGGCUAACUCCGUGCCAGCAGCCGCGGUAAUACGGAGGGUGCAAGCGUUAAUCGGAAUUACUGGGCGUAAAG